GUACCCAGUUCGGACUGCAGGCUGCAACCCGCCUGCACGAAGCCGGAGUUGCUAGUAAUCGCGAAUCAGAAUGUCGCGGUGAAUGCGUUCCCGGGUCUUGUACACACCGCCCGUCACACCAUGGAAGUUGGGGUGCCCAAAGCCGGCAAGCAAAUAUGCUGUCUAAGGCAAAACCAAUGACUGGGGUGAAGUCGUAACAAGGUACC
Molecule: ribosomal RNA, 206 nt
Filed under: uncultured bacterium
Lineage: Bacteria
Description: partial 16S ribosomal RNA
Rfam family: Bacterial small subunit ribosomal RNA
Source: RNAcentral